Molecule: small RNA, 31 nt
Filed under: Arabidopsis thaliana (thale cress)
Lineage: Eukaryota; Viridiplantae; Streptophyta; Magnoliopsida; Brassicales; Brassicaceae
Description: ATSL241410
Source: RNAcentral
UUCUUCAACUUCUUCUUCUCCUUUUUCCUCU